Molecule: small nucleolar RNA, 90 nt
Organism: Dermochelys coriacea (leatherback sea turtle)
Lineage: Eukaryota; Metazoa; Chordata; Testudines; Dermochelyidae
Product: small nucleolar RNA SNORD93
Exons: 1
Source: RefSeq, a predicted model, not a curated record
UGGCCAAGGAUGAAAACCAUGAUCUGAUGGGCAUAACAUUGUAAACAGGUAUGCAAAGUCUGAUGGGUUAAAGGAUUUUACCUGAGGCCA